UGUCGUUGCCUGCAGUGUUACCCUGUGC
This 28-nucleotide non-coding RNA is filed under the name Mus musculus (house mouse). Lineage: Eukaryota; Metazoa; Chordata; Mammalia; Rodentia; Muridae. The record is from RNAcentral.